Molecule: small nuclear RNA, 116 nt
Organism: Mauremys reevesii (Reeves's turtle)
Lineage: Eukaryota; Metazoa; Chordata; Testudines; Geoemydidae
Product: U5 spliceosomal RNA
Exons: 1
Source: RefSeq, a predicted model, not a curated record
AUACUGUGCUUUCUUUUCAGUUUGUAUAAUUUUUUUGCUUUUUACUAAAGAUUGCUGUGGAGAGGAAUGUUUGUGAGCUUGUACCCAAUUUUUUAAGGCUUUGAUUUAGCAAGGCU